RNAcentral lists this ribosomal RNA (427 nucleotides) under uncultured bacterium. Its description in RNAcentral is "partial 16S ribosomal RNA". It matches the Rfam family "Bacterial small subunit ribosomal RNA", at positions 355 to 774 of the family's 1533-position model. The record is from RNAcentral.
UGGGGAAUAUUGGACAAUGGGCGAAAGCCUGAUCCAGCCAUGCCGCGUGUGUGAAGAAGGUCUUCGGAUUGUAAAGCACUUUAAGUUGGGAGGAAGGGCAUUAACCUAAUACGUUAGUGUUUUGACGUUUCCGACAGAAUAAGCACCGGCUAACUCUGUGCCAGCAGCCGCGGUAAUACAGAGGGUGCAAGCGUUAAUCGGAAUUACUGGGCGUAAAGCGCGCGUAGGUGGUUUGUUAAGUUGGAUGUGAAAUCCCCGGGCUCAACCUGGGAACUGCAUUCAAAACUGACUGACUAGAGUAUGGUAGAGGGUGGUGGAAUUUCCUGUGUAGCGGUGAAAUGCGUAGAUAUAGGAAGGAACACCAGUGGCGAAGGCGACCACCUGGACUAAUACUGACACUGAGGUGCGAAAGCGUGGGGAGCAAACA